Molecule: long non-coding RNA, 1165 nt
Organism: Oncorhynchus keta (chum salmon)
Lineage: Eukaryota; Metazoa; Chordata; Actinopteri; Salmoniformes; Salmonidae
Exons: 6
Source: RefSeq, a predicted model, not a curated record
UUUUGUUUUCUCAUGAUUUGGUUGGGUCUAAUUGUGCUGCUGUCCUGGGGCUCUGUGGGGUGUGUUUGUGUUUGUGAACAGAGCCCCAGGACCAGCUUGCUUAGGGGACUCUUCUCCAGGUUCCUCUCUCUGUAGGGUGUGUUUGUGAACAGAGCCCCAGGACCAGCUUGCUUAGGGGACUCUUCUCCAGGUUCAUCUCUCUGUAGGGUGUGUUUGUGAACAGAGCCCCAGGACCAGCUUGCUUAGGGGACUCUUCUCCAGGUUCAUCUCUCUGUAGGGUGUGUUUGUGAACAGAGCCCCAGGACCAGCUUGCUUAGGGGACUCUUCUCCAGGUUCAUCUCUCUGUAGGGUGUGUUUGUGAACAGAGCCCCAGGACCAGCUUGCUUAGGGGACUCUUCUCCAGGUUCAUCUCUCUGUAGGGUGUGUUUGUGAACAGAGCCCCAGGACCAGCUUGCUUAGGGGACUCUUCUCCAGGUUCAUCUCUCUGUAGGGUGUGUUUGUGAACAGAGCCCCAGGACCAGCUUGCUUAGGGGACUCUUCUCCAGGUUCAUCUCUCUGUAGGGUGUGUUUGUGAACAGAGCCCCAGGACCAGCUUGCUUAGGGGACUCUUCUCCAGGUUCAUCUCUCUGUAGGGUGUGUUUGUGAACAGAGCCCCAGGACCAGCCUGCUUAGGGGACUCUUCUCCAGGUUCAUCUCUCUGUAGGGUGUGUUUGUGAACAGAGCCCCAGGACCAGCUUGCUUAGGGGACUCUUCUCCAGGUUCAUCUCUCUGUAGGGUGUGUUUGUGAACAGAGCCCCAGGACCAGCUUGCUUAGGGGACUCUUCUCCAGGUUCAUCUCUCUGUAGGGUGUGUUUGUGAACAGAGCCCCAGGACCAGCUUGCUUAGGGGACUCUUCUCCAGGUUCCUCUCUCUGUAGGGUCUGUUUGUGAACAGAGCCCCAGGACCAGCUUGCUUAGGGGACUCUUCUCCAGGUUCAUCUCUCUGUAGGGUGUGUUUGUGAACAAAGCCCCAGGACCAGCUUGCUUAGGGGACUCUUCUCCAGGUUCAUCUCUCUGUAGGUGAUGGCUGUGUGGGGUCUGUUUGUGAACAGAGCCCCAGGACCAGCUUGCUUAGGGGACUCUUCUCCAGGUUCAUCUCUCUGUAGGUGAUGGCUUUGUGGUGGACA